Molecule: transfer RNA, 75 nt
Filed under: Alcaligenaceae bacterium CGII-47
Lineage: Bacteria; Pseudomonadati; Pseudomonadota; Betaproteobacteria; Burkholderiales; Alcaligenaceae
Description: tRNA-Arg
Rfam family: tRNA
About the family: Transfer RNA (tRNA) molecules are approximately 80 nucleotides in length. Their secondary structure includes four short double-helical elements and three loops (D, anti-codon, and T loops).
Source: RNAcentral
GCGCCCGUAGUUCAAUGGAUAGAAUGGGAGCCUCCGAAGCUCUUGGUACAGGUUCGAUUCCUGUCGGGCGCACCA